CCUGAGUCUUCAUUCUUACAAUCGGAAACAAAAACACCACAAGGCAACAAAACACAGCAAACAGGUCAAAAACAACAGUAAUAACGACCACACACAGACUACUUAAUUUCAGAGACUCAGAUGCAUUAUUGAAACGCUAGACUUAAUAGCAGUUUCCAUCACCACAGGUCAAAACAACAGUAAUAACGACCAAAACCACAGACAACU
Molecule: long non-coding RNA, 207 nt
Filed under: Actinidia chinensis (golden kiwifruit)
Lineage: Eukaryota; Viridiplantae; Streptophyta; Magnoliopsida; Ericales; Actinidiaceae
Description: long non-coding RNA (ACHI_LNC000265)
Source: RNAcentral